RNAcentral lists this long non-coding RNA (5543 nucleotides) under Toxoplasma gondii VEG. The record is from RNAcentral. Lineage: Eukaryota; Apicomplexa; Conoidasida; Eucoccidiorida; Sarcocystidae.
AGGGAGAGAAGGUACUGCUUCAACUGGAGGGCGAGAUGUCCAGCCUUCCCGCGCUCUUGUCCUAAUCGUGAGGAAAGUAUUGUGUCCUUCCCAUCCGCGCUCGAUGCACCCGUCUCCCCACAUUCUUCGCCUUCAAUUGUCUCUUCGCCCUCGAGGCUCUCCUCGCCCUCAAGGGCCUUCUGUCCUGCAAGAGCCUCGUCGGGCGUGCGGGCCUCGCUGCGCCAGCUGUCCCCGGAAGCGUCCCGGAAGUCCAUGUCGGAGCUGCGCUUCGGUGCAUGGGCCUGAUGGUGGGUCUCCGCCUUGAGUCGGGGGAGGGCGUCGAGGAAAACGCCGAGAAGAAGUCGCCUUUCUUGAGCGACUUGGGCAGCGAACACGUGGGUGAUGAAGCCGCGGACGAUUGGCGGGAGGCGCGGCGCCGUCCGACGCUUUUUCGACUUGAGAAUCGCAGACGAAAGGGAACAGGAGAGCGCCGCAGAAAUGGGUUUCCCGAUGGAGGCCCAGACUUCCUCACCAGCGGGCUCAUCUUCUUGAGCGUCCUUGAUAUUCAAUAUCGCCAUUCGCAGCGCUGCACCGCUCGCGUCGCCGUCGGCGGGCCUUGAGGUCCCAGGAACCCCGCAGCCGCGCCCCGGCGUCCCCACUUUGCCGCAUUCAGGCUGCCUCAGACCCCCGUCGGUUUGCGCCCGCAGCUCCGGAGUGCCUCUCUGGCUUCCAGAUCGCCGACUGUCUGCAGGCGUCGCCUCCACUGCGAAGGUCACCGCCCCGGCGUCGCUGGUGGCACUCGCGUGGGCCUUUUUCCGACACUCGGAAACUUCACACCCGCGCUCCCCGGGAACGUUGGAACUGGAUCUUUCGCCUUCUUCGGAUGCGCCCCUGAUGCACUUUUGUGUCGCUGUGUGAGACCCACCAGGGGCAUCACGUCUCGCGUCCUCCGCCGUUCCGGCCUCGGCCCUGCAGAUGUUUGCGCGAGGCAACGCUUGCUUCAGGCCUGGCUCGUCGUCCGCGGAGUUCUCCGCGUCUCCACACAGGUUGUGAGUUGCGUCCUGACGUUUGCUCGGGUCGGCACACGUGGCGCGUUCUGAGGGCGUCGCCGCCGAGUCGACGGAGAAGCGCUCGUUUCCGGGACUCGCAGAACUCGGUUCGUUGUCGCCAAGAGCGCCAAGCACAGUUGGGGUUCGUGGCGUCGGCGGGAAGGGCUUCAGCUCCUCAACGAGUUCUGAGGGCAAGCGCCUUUUCCAGAGCGCGAGAGAAGACAACGCUUGGGUGGGAUCUGCUUUCAAAAGGGGGAGAACGGGGGAGGCGUGCUGCAGAGUCGCAGGGCUCGCGGCGAGCGAGAACGCCCCUUUUUCUUCGCGUCUGUCGGACGCGGCUGCGUUCGACAAAUGUGCACCUGAGGCGAAAGAAAAGUUUUCACCUGGGAUCCCCUUCCCGCUCGUGGGCCUUGCCUCAGACGACGGCGGCGCACAGCCGCCGAGAUCACCGCCAGUCACUGUCAUGGCACAGAACCCGGCGUAAAACGAGAAUGUGGGUCGCUUGAAAGGUCCGCGCGAAACGGAGUAACAGGGCGAAAAGCGGGGGAAGGAACUGGGAACCCCGUCUCUCAGUCAUGCGUCAGUACACGCAGUCUUUAGCUUACUCGAAACGCUCCCUUUGUCGCUCUUCUUCGCAGAUGCGUCGGCGAGGAAAGGAUCGUGCAGGUUGGAAGCUGCACACAGGAACGCGAGUGGACAAACGAUGGCCGGGAGAGCGGCGUUUCAAAGAACUCGCAAAACACGACGGCCCUGAGAACUGGAUUGCACAGGUGCCGCUCUGCAAGACGGGAAGAAAAACGUCUGCAACGCAGACAGGCUUCCGGAAAACAAGCUGUAGGUACCGAGGUCUUCGUCGGACAUUCACUUCGACGAGGCGAGACAGCGACAAGGUCAGACCAGCAGCGCGGAUAACGCGCGCUCUCUAUACACAAAACGGUAAAAAACGACGGAGAGAGGAACUCUAAGUCUCUAGUCAUCACGCCUUUCGCGUCUCCAAAGUGCGCGAGACAUUUCUGGCAAGCAUGACGGCGAAAAGCCAAGAGAAACAAACAUCUGUUGAAAAACACGGUGCAUCGUACGUGUGUAUGUGUGGCCACACAUACGCUUGAUCUCCUUUUGAGGUCGCACGGAAAUCCAGCGACAGUUGACGGAAAAAAUGAGUUUUGCCCCGCUUUGACGAAGCCGGAAGAGACUCAACGACAAGACAGUACGUCCACAGUUUCGCUCGUUUGCAAACGCGUUUCGACGAACGCUCUCAAAAAAGUGGCUUGGUCAGUCGGCGGAAAGCCACGCCUUGCAUGAUGCGUGCCUUUGCGGAAAGCUCAAGAGCGUGAGCGUCUUGUCUGAGUCCCGAAAGAUCACAUUCAUGGCAAACCCAGAUUCUACCAGAAUGUUGGACGAAAGGCACACGCACACUAUCUGGAGUGUGCGCUUGUCUCUAGACCUUGAGGGGUCGCGACGACCUCAAAAGCAGCCUCGUGUUGAGAUGAAAAAAAGCUCCCGCGACAGCAAGCGGCGGCGACGAAAAACGUACGCGAGGCAUGGAGGAAACGCCAUUGGACACAAGACGCGAUUCUUCGGAGAAGGAGGAUCCCUGAUCUCAACCGGCGUCCACCAGUGAAGAGAGUGAGACUCGCCUAUACAAGAGUUCUCACGUGGGCGGGGCCGGAGGCCGCAGCAGACAAAUCAAGGAUCGGGAUACGCGGUCCGACGCUUCCGGAAAGGCUCGGCACACUGGGAGUUCUAGGAAACUCGGAAAACCAAAGGAUCUUUGCCGCUGUUUGACGCGAACCAGCCGUCUUAGGGCUGUUGCGGCGAUGCGUUCCGUAUACCGGCGAAGCAAGCGCGGGUGUGGCGAAGCGCCGGUCGCUUGAAGGAAAAAAUUUGACGGUCCGACAAGAAACGUGUCUUGUUACAGAUGAGUGUCGGAAGUGAAGUCUGCAAUAACGCACAGAUUCCGAAAGAAAUCUCCGCCGCGUCGAGAGGCGCUCGCUGUCGCCCGCUUGACGGUUUAUCGAGAGCACAGCUGCCUUUCCUCUCAACUCGAACGCAGCUCCACUCCGAGUGCACACUUCUGCCGAGUCCACCGAUGGGCUGGCUUCUCGAGUUUCACUCUGGAUCUACUCCCUUAGAGGCGCCGAUCGCAGCGGCGCUCUCGGAGGAAGAAAUCCAGUUCUCUGCGCGGUGCGUCCGCUCUCAAAUUCGCGUCAACCUCUCGAAGGAACUCUUGUCUCACUUGUAGACCAGAGCCAAGCCCCCCGCGACACACCUCACGGCACGCGAGUAUGGGAAGGACACAGAGGGAUUUUUUUUCUGUACAGCCCGCUUUGGGCUUCCAAAUUAUCGCGCGUUCUCCGGGAAGCGAAGCAUCGCUGUGAAACCGCAAAGCACUCAAAAAAAUUGACUAGAGAAGCUCAGCUUCUCCCUGGCUAAGGGCCCGUACCCACAAACGUCGCGACCUGCCUUCGCACGGCCGUCCCUGCUGCCCCCGGUCGCCUCUCGAACCUUCACUCUUCGUCCACGGGAGGCCCGCCGGCUCUUCGACUUUCUUUUUCUCGUUCGUUCUGGGAAGGCGCAAACGGUUGUCGGGGGUUUGCGAGUCGAGAAAGUCAAGAAAGCAGCCGGAGAAAUGAAACUGGAAAUCGCGAGAAACCUCGAGGACUAUGCGGGAGGGAGAAAAGCAGACGCCUCGCGAUCCAGUCCGAGCAUCGAGGACGGUUCGUCUCCGUCUCGUCUGGGAGCAGUCCCGGCACAGAACCCACAAGAAAACGCUUUCUUCCCCUCCUUGCGCAUUCCCACGCACAUCGCCGUCCGAAAGCUUCUUCCCCUCGGGGCAGGUUCUCACCUACCACGCGCCCGUCCAUCGGGGCCGACUCGACGCUGACCGGGUGUGCCCGGCGCUUCGAGCGAGGGAGGGAGAAGCCGGAGAGUAGAGCACGAGUUGAGGAUUCCGGAAGCCGGGGAUAGCGCUGCAGAAGACCGGGACGCGGAACACUGGCCGUCGGCGGAAGAGGAAGUGGGCGAAACGAACCGAUUUCCUUCGGGAGUAUUCGGGGGAAACGCAGAAUCGAAGACGGAGACAGCGAAACGGGCACACUGCCGUGUCUAGGUUUGUGCUUUGAGACUUGCUCCUCAAAACGCGCAACCCCAGAAUUAACCAGCUUUGGAUUUUGUCCAGAGUCACACGCGUGCGCGACAGUGAACAGUUCAGUCAGUAGACAAAAAGAGGCGGUGCCGAGACAAGCAGGCGGCAGGUAGAUACUGAAUGGAAACGAAAUAAAGAACUCGAAGACAACAGGCGACAGAGAGACCCUUCAUACCAGGCACAAGUUUCAAAGGGGGGAGGAGGAGGGGGGUGGCAAGGAUUCGGCUAUGGAGUAAGCGUGUGUGGGCGAACUUUGUUGGAGCUUAAACGAUGAAAAAGGCUCGGAAGAUGCUAUCAUUGAAUGGAAUCGGGUGAACCGCUUGCGAAAGUUGUCGUGUUGCCCGUGAUACGCCGUGGGAAUGGCCGCAAGUGUCAAGAAAGUAGCCGUCGGGGCGCCAGGAGUGUCGGCAGAACAAGAAUGAUUCCGUACUUGAUACAGACACCCUUUCUCGGAGUUCUCUGCGGGUUGGCUUUUUCAGAUCUUUUAAUGACCUUCCUAUUGGACACUAACCGCUGACGGCCAGAAGUCGAUGCUUUUCUGUCAACUGGCGAACGCAUUAGAGCAGCCACGGUGCUGAACCUGAGAUUGGGUUGUGUACCCUUUGCGUUUGCUGACAGUUCGCAAUUUUCUGUUAGAGAAAUCGUGUCUCGGUCGUUUGUUCCAAUGAAGCUGUCGACCGUUGGUUCUCGCAUAGAGGCGUCCACUAAAAACGCGGUAAUUACAGUACGUGUCCCAACUAUGACCUUUGUGUACUUCGUACUGCCUUCGUACGCAGGGCAUGGUUACUUCUGUGCACCAAUCAAUAUAUUGAUGGUUCGAACUUGUAUUCCCCAGGACUAAAGCAACCUCCUGGUUCCUAGUAUCUUUCGGUUCUGUGCUAUCUCAACAUUCGAGCUACCGGGAGUUGGAGGACAUCGCAGCAAAAAGGGAAAUUCCGGGGAGAAUGUUGGCCAAAACUCGCACAGAGGAAGAAGCGUUGUCUCGUGUUGACGUCGACCGGAGAUAAAGUGUCUGUUGUGGUCUUUCACUGCUACUCGGCGCCGGCGUUGUCGCAGACGCCGGGGGGUGCAGAGGGCCUGUGGGAGGCGCACAUUCAAGAGUUGUGUGAAGGUACAGAAAGCCCCACUUCAGCAAUAUUGGUCGCAGUCGGUUUUUCCAGUUGAUAGGUGCGACCGCACCAAGCCAGGCACUAUAGAUAACGUGGAAGCCCAUUUGAUUUCCAUGAACGGAGGUACACAUUAAAUAUUACGCUGUCGUGGUUUGUAGCAAGUCAGCAUUAAAACAUGCCCAGUGUAACGGUCAAACGUGAUGCAGCGUACUCUUCUGUGUUCUCAGCUGUAAACAAGGGACUUUUAGACUCAAAAUGUGG